CCGGCACCCUACUCACUGAGCCACAGGUGCUGCCCAGAUCACUCCUAUAUUCACCUGAGAGUCCACUUCCAGAGAGCCUCUGAGGGAAGGCCAAAGAGACCAGGACCUCAGGUUGCUGGGCUAUUAGCCUGUCAAAUGUUUUUAGAAGCAUGAGAAGCCUCAACCCUACUGGCCAGUUGGAGGCUCCCAGAAAUGUAUGUUUGCACCUGUCACCAAAAACACCAUUAAAAUGAAAGCAGGCAUCCAAUCAACCCCUGCAGUGUUAAGUCACCCAUAGACCUGUUAAAAACUAUAUGAGAAAGUGUUCUGG
This is a long non-coding RNA of Nycticebus coucang (slow loris), 310 nucleotides long. RefSeq lists it as uncharacterized. The transcript is spliced from 3 exons. The record is from RefSeq and is a predicted model, not a curated record. Lineage: Eukaryota; Metazoa; Chordata; Mammalia; Primates; Lorisidae.